Molecule: ribosomal RNA, 460 nt
Filed under: uncultured bacterium
Lineage: Bacteria
Description: partial 16S ribosomal RNA
Rfam family: Bacterial small subunit ribosomal RNA
Source: RNAcentral
CCUACGGGAGGCAGCAGUGAGGAAUAUUGGUCAAUGGCCGGAAGGCUGAACCAGCCAUGCCGCGUGAAGGUCAGUGCCCUAUGGGCGUUAAACUUCUUUUGUGCGGGAGCAAUAAUGGUCACGUGUGGCCAGACGAGAGUACCGUACGAAUAAGCAUCGGCUAAGUCCGUGCCAGCAGCCGCGGUAAUACGGGGGAUGCAAGCGUUAUCCGGAUUUAUUGGGUUUAAAGGGUGCGUAGGCUGUGAGGGAAGUCAGCGGGGAAAUGCCCCCGCUCAACGGGGUGAAGUGCCAUUGAUACUGCCUUGCUGGAAUGCGGAUGCCGUGAGAGGAAUGUGUGGUGUAGCGGUGAAAUGCAUAGAUAUCACACAGAACACCGAUUGCGAAGGCAUCUCACGAAUCCGCGAUUGACGCUGAUGCACGAAAGCGUGGGUAUCAAACAGGAUUAGAUACCCCUGUAGUC